GCGAGAAGCCCAGCAGAGGAAGGCGCUGCUGCAGAGAUUCCCCAGGAUAGGCCCUGGAAGGCAGCAGCGAGCCUGGAGGGACGCCACAGAAUCCUGUGACUAUGUGAGGGUGAGUGUCCCCCGUCCCUGCUCUCGUUCUCUCCUGGGGACGGGGAUGUGACGGGCUUCCCGGCCCUCCUGGCUGAGGAAGGGGGUCCACCCCGAUUCUCAACAUUGGGAUUUCCGUGCGGGUCCUUUCCAGCCACGUUUGCUGGGUGUCCAUGAUCCGGCAGGAUUCCUUGCAUGUGUGCUAACCGGGUGCCGGGUGGGCGUGCCAACAUCAUUUCGGGACGCUGUGCCCACACCUAGGCCUCUUGGGAGGCACAGGCAUCUUUCCCUGGUGACACAUACACCCGCCCCAUUGGCCAUCCAAACUCAGUACUCCCCCCCCCCCCCCGAACAUCCACCUGCAGGACGCCUGUCCUUUCCCUAGAAGCCUGAAUGGAGGUGCUUGUCCACUUCGGGAGGCAGGCACGAUGCACAACCUUUCUGGUCCGUCGCUCCCGUGGAAUCAAAGCAUCAAGGGGCUACUGCCCAGUGUUUCUUCCCAAUCGACGCUGAGCUGGAGGCCCUUGUCCUCUGUCAGUACAAUCCUUUCCCAUCUCUCCCGGUUGUUUGCGUUUCUGUCUGUUUCUUUGCUGUGCUUGUCGUGCAUGUGUCCUUGGUGGGCGGGAAGGACUGAUGGCCGUUGUCUGUGUGUUGUGUGUUCCCACAGCAUCCGCACAGGCCGAUGCCCGUGUACACCACCAAGAGGGUGUCCGUGCUGGCGCUGCACAUCCCGGCUGAGCCUCCCAGCGGGACGCCUGACACGACACAGCUGUCCCCGUCGGCUGCUCCUCUCGGGAGACCUGCGGCGAGCACCUUCCCGCCUGCUGGCCGACAGGAUGCCCAGCAAGUGGGGACCCCAGCCCCGCCUGCCCCGCCUGCCCCGGCACACCAACGCUGUGCCCAGGAUCCAGGCCUCGGUGUCCAGCCGAGACAACACCGGCCCCGAUGUGCCUCCCUGGAAGCUUCCAGGGCUGUCUCUAAGGUGCGUGGCAUUGGCCACGCCCAGGCACCAGCCAAGCGUCCUGAGGCACCCGGCCAGCCCCUGCGAAUGAUCUUCAGCCGCCUGGACAAAGGCGGCUGGAGCUCCAGGUUCAUAGCAGCUCCCUGUCUGCCACCUCCCGAGAGGCCAGUCCCCCCUGGCCAGGGCCCGCCCGUCACACACCAGUCUGAGGGAGGCUGUGUGCCUGUCUCCCGGAGCAUCCUCCACGAUGACCUGCAGCUUUCCUCGUCCUCGGAGGAGAGCGACCGGGAGUGAGACACCUCAUGUCCUCGGACACUCGUCCUCUGGCUCUUGUGACCCCGAGCAGGUGACUGCGGAGCGGCGGGCAAGGCAGGGCCGUGACCUAUUUUUGCUAAAGCAGCAAUUCCCCCAAAGACCUGCAAGGACAAAAGCUUGCGUCCACACCGUGUUUGGUGUCCUGCUUGGGGCGGGGAGUGGGUUGAGCGCCCACGUGCAGACGCUCAUGGCGCACUUUUCCUUUAUGCAUCUACACCUUCUGGUUCACCUGCUCCGUCUCAAUCAACAAGGUCUCGUUUCUUUCGUUUCAAUAGAUUCUAUGAGAAAUCCAGCGCCAGGAGAGCAAGAGGUCGUCCACUCGAAUGUAAAGUUAAGGAUCUGUGAAAUGAACGUGUAGUGGGUUUGCGAAUGUCUGAAUUUGGGGGCGCCGGAGGAAUGAUUCCGGUCCGGGCUGGGCAAGUGGAGGCAAUCUUUUGUUUUAGAACAGUUCACUGAUACCGUUUUUCUGCAGAUCAUAUCGGGGAAUAUUUUACAUGCUGUCUGCGUUUUUGUUUUUCCCUGAUAGUGCAACGUUGUGUGUAGUGUUACCACAGCUAAUAAAAUUUGCUCAGACACGACCGAAUGUGCA
RNAcentral lists this long non-coding RNA (1952 nucleotides) under Felis catus (domestic cat). RNAcentral describes it as "lncRNA (ENSFCAG00000053576.1)". Lineage: Eukaryota; Metazoa; Chordata; Mammalia; Carnivora; Felidae. The record is from RNAcentral.